This is a long non-coding RNA of Malania oleifera, 497 nucleotides long. RefSeq lists it as uncharacterized. NCBI's taxonomy places the organism in Eukaryota, Viridiplantae, Streptophyta, Magnoliopsida, Santalales, Ximeniaceae. The record is from RefSeq and is a predicted model, not a curated record. The transcript has 3 exons.
GUGACUUAGGAGCAGCGCAUGGUCCUUUACAUGCGCAUUUUGGAGGAGUUUGAUAUGGACAUCCUCGAGGAUGACCAUGUGAGGAGGGUGGUCGACAUCCAAUUGUGUAAUAAAUUUAAGAGCUAUCGCUUGAAAAUGCGCUCCCAUUUUCGAGCGAUGGGAGAUGAAGCAGAAGCGCGGCCAUAUGAUAAGAUAUCCCAAGAAGAUUGGGACGUGGUUUGUCGCCAUUUCCGCGACCCACACUAUUAGGUGAUGUGUUUGUAUUCUAAUCACUAAUUUUUUAGAAUGAUGUCCCUAAUAUGUCGGCAUGACAUCUUCCUUGCAGGCCAUAUGUGAAACAAAUGCUGCGAACCGCAGCAAACUCCCUACGACGCAUUGCAGUGGAUUGAGGCUAUUUGUAAAUCAUCGCCAGCAUGAUCCCGAGACUAGCACAGAGGAGCCGCUACCAGAUCUGUAUCAGAGAACACAUCAAUGGCGAUCGGGGGAGUGGUGCGAGG